This 73-nucleotide transfer RNA is filed under the name Ictidomys tridecemlineatus (thirteen-lined ground squirrel). RNAcentral describes it as "Spermophilus tridecemlineatus (thirteen-lined ground squirrel) tRNA". It matches the Rfam family "tRNA". Rfam says of the family: Transfer RNA (tRNA) molecules are approximately 80 nucleotides in length. The record is from Rfam by way of RNAcentral. Lineage: Eukaryota; Metazoa; Chordata; Mammalia; Rodentia; Sciuridae.
GGGGUUGUAGCUCAGUGGUAGAGCACUUACUUGCCUCACAGGCAUGAGGCCCUGGGUUCGAUCCUCAGCACCA